UACGAAGGGGGGCUAGCGUUGCUCGGAAUGACUGGGCGUAAAGGGCGUGUAGGCGGAUCGGCAAGUCGGGCGUGAAAUCCCCUGGGCUCAACCCAGGAAUUGCACUCGAAACUGCCCUUUCUUGAGUGCCCGGAGAGGAAAAGCGGAAUACCUGGUGUAGAGGUGAAAUUCGUAGAUAUCAGGUGGAACACCAGUGGCGAAGGCGGCUUUCUGGACGGUAACUGACGCUGAGACGCGAAAGCGUGGGGAGCAAACAGG
This 258-nucleotide ribosomal RNA is filed under the name uncultured bacterium. RNAcentral describes it as "partial 16S ribosomal RNA". It matches the Rfam family "Bacterial small subunit ribosomal RNA", at positions 524 to 776 of the family's 1533-position model. The record is from RNAcentral.